Molecule: long non-coding RNA, 1237 nt
Organism: Salvia hispanica
Lineage: Eukaryota; Viridiplantae; Streptophyta; Magnoliopsida; Lamiales; Lamiaceae
Source: RefSeq, a predicted model, not a curated record
CCAUUCUCUCAAAAAAAACCCAAAUCACUAAAAUAAAUUGUUCUUGGAGCCCAAAGGUCCAACACCAAAUCUCUCUGCAUAACUUGUGAUAAAUCUCCUCCACCUCCUCCUUGAUUAUGCUCUUCCCAUUCAAGUCACGUAUCUAUUCUCCUCCACCUCAAGUUCUUUUUGAUUAUGCUCUUCCCAUUCAAGUCACGUAUCUAUUCUCCUCCAACUCCUGCUUGAACUGCUGUCUUUUGUCCCAAUAGGAUACAAGCCAAGGUAAUUUCUAUUUCACAAAUUCAUAGCACAAACUCCUCAAUUCCAUUCUAGUUUCAAGCAUAUGCAACAUGCAGUUGACAGAAACCAAUUUGAUCAAGUCAAAGGAGCUCUCUGUUUCUUUUCAACAAGAAAUUCGAAGAAGCUUUCCAUCCCUUCCACCCACCAUUUUGUUCGAGGAAGGUAUAAACUUUUGCCCUCUUCAAUUCAUCAAUUUCACAAGCAUGCUCAUCAUACAAAUAUAAUCGAAACUCGAAACCAAAUUAAAACAAUCAACACCGAUCGAACAUCACAAUUGAAACCCCUUGCUGCGAAUUGAAAACUGAAAACGAAAGAACAUAGCUUUGUAAAAGAACUUAUCUUUCAGGUUGUUUUGAAUGAUUCGGGGGCUGCCGGCGAGGUUGUUUCGAGCUCAGUUGGGGCUGCUGGAUACCGAUUCGGGGCGUGCAAAGGCGGCGGCAGAUUUGGAGAGAGAGGCGGCGGCGGUGACCAGAAAGAAGCCGAGAGAGAGAGACCGAUAGGAGAGAAGGGGCGACGAAGCUAUUUCGGAAAUUGGGGAAAAUUAGGAGAAAGAGAGAACAGAGGGAGAGACGGGAGAGAUAGGGAGAUUAGGAGGGGGAGAGAACACCGACGGAGGAGGAGGCGGUGGCGGCGCUGGAGGGAGGUUGGCCGACGGUCAGCACCAGGCAGGAAGGGGAGAGAAAACUCUUCUUUGAUAGCCACGGUGGAGUGAGGAAGGAGAAGCAUUUAGGGUUAUCUCCGCAAGUUAAAGUCGGAGCGAGAAAUUCAAGUUAAGGAAAUUAAACGAACGAGGUUGAGCAGUGACGGUGGGGAAUGCUGAGCAGAGUUUGUGAUUUUCUUUAUAUUUUAAGUAGAGGCUCUCAGAGGUGCAUGUCUCCAUACAUGUGACCAUGUUCAUUCCGCUGCGUAUUGUUCUUCUAUACUCUGAUAAAUAUUAAUUGAAAAGAUCUCCAUUCGA